CGGCGACGGCGGCGGCGGCGACGACGGCGACGGCAACGGCGGCGGCUGCAAUCGGCGAUGUCUUCCUCCUCCCGCGCGUCGUAAUCAGGCGGAGGUCGCGGGCGUAGGGCUCCAUCAAGGUCGCCCGUGCAAGAAGUCUCCUCCCUGGAAGAUACUAGUGCUGCGUCCAUGAAAUUUGGCAUAGUGAUCCCUGCUCCCCAAUCCUUGCAGAACUACUGCUCGAUCUUAGGGCUGCAAUCAGGAGGUUUGAAGCUGCAGGUGGUGAUGACUGGCAACCAUGAUUGGAACAGGGCCAAAGAAUUGGAACAGAGGAUGCACUGAGUCAACAAGUUCUAGAGAAGAAUGCAGAGAUUGAACCAAAAAUGUUAUUGGCAGGUGUAUUUACAGGAUUUGUACUGCAUUAAUAGCUAGAAGAAAAAUGUAAUGCCAAAAUCUUGUAAUGGCUGAAUGAUGUAAUGGUUGGAUGAUGUAAUGAUAUUCCAUGCUGCUAUUUA
Molecule: long non-coding RNA, 494 nt
Organism: Triticum dicoccoides
Lineage: Eukaryota; Viridiplantae; Streptophyta; Magnoliopsida; Poales; Poaceae
Exons: 2
Source: RefSeq, a predicted model, not a curated record